CACUGAUUUCAACAAUGAAGCGAGUGGCGAACUGGUGAGUAACACGUGGGUAACCUGCCCAGAAGUAGGGGAUAACACCUGGAAACAGAUGCUAAUACCGUAUAACAGAGAAACCGCAUGGUUUUCUUUUAAAAGGUGGCUCUGCUAUCACUUCUGGAUGGACCCGCGGCGUAUUAGCUAGUUGGGUGAGGUAAAGGCUCACCAAGGCAGUGAUACGUAGCCGACCUGAGAGGGUAAUCGGCCACAUUAAGACUGAGACGCGGCCCAGACUCC
RNAcentral lists this ribosomal RNA (273 nucleotides) under uncultured Pediococcus sp. RNAcentral describes it as "partial 16S ribosomal RNA". It matches the Rfam family "Bacterial small subunit ribosomal RNA", at positions 65 to 339 of the family's 1533-position model. Lineage: Bacteria; Bacillati; Bacillota; Bacilli; Lactobacillales; Lactobacillaceae. The record is from RNAcentral.